CCAAUGCUAAAAGAAGACUAAUGAUGGAAAAAGUUAAGACAAUAUGGACAAAGGUUCAGAGAGAGCUGAUGGGAGUGACAUCAAAUAUACAGCAGAGAAGACAGUCUAUGGAAUCAGAAAAAUCAAAGUGGAUUGCAAUUCACAAGGAGUUAUUGGUAACUGUAGAUGCAAAGACAAACAAAUUUCAAGGGAGGAAAUUAAAACAUUUGAAAGAAUCCGUUAACAAAAAU
Long non-coding RNA from Saccostrea echinata, 230 nucleotides. RefSeq lists it as uncharacterized. The record is from RefSeq and is a predicted model, not a curated record. The transcript has 3 exons. NCBI's taxonomy places the organism in Eukaryota, Metazoa, Mollusca, Bivalvia, Ostreida, Ostreidae.